Molecule: ribosomal RNA, 422 nt
Filed under: uncultured bacterium
Lineage: Bacteria
Description: partial 16S ribosomal RNA
Rfam family: Bacterial small subunit ribosomal RNA
Source: RNAcentral
AAUUUUGGACAAUGGGGGAAACCCUGAUCCAGCCAUCCCGCGUGUAUGAUGAAUGCCUUCGGGUUGUAAAUUACUUUUGGCAGAGAAGAAAAGUUAUCUCCUAAUACGAGAUACUGCCGACGUUAUCUGCAGAAUAAUCAUCGGCUAACUACGUGCCAGCAGCCGCGGUAAUACGUACGGUGCAAGCGUUAAUCGGAAUUACGGGGCGUAAGGCGUGUGUAGGAGGAACGGAAAGAAAGAUGUGAAAUCCCAGGGCUCAACCUUGGAACUGCAUUUUUAACUGCCGAGCUAGAGUAUGUCAGAGGGGGGUAGAAUUCCACGUGUAGCAGUGAAAUGCGUAGAUAUGUGGAGGAAUACCGAUGGCGAAGGCAGCCCCCUGGGAUAAUACUGACGCUCAGACACGAAAGCGUGGGGAGCAAACA